GACGAACGCUGGCGGCGUGCUUAACACAUGCAAGUCGAACGGAAAGGCCUGCUUUCCCUUGUGGAUUGCGGGUGCUCGAGUGGCGAACGGGUGAGUAACACGUGAGUGAUCUGCCCCCAACUUGGGUAUAAGCCUGGGAAACUGGGUCUAAUUCCCGAUAGGACUGCAGGGUGGUGCCUGUGGUGGAAAACGAUUUUCUAGUGGUUGGGGAUGAGCUCGCGGCCUAUCAGCUUGUUGGUGGGGUAAUGGCCUACCAAGGCGGCGACGGGUAGCCGGCCUGAGAGGGUGGACGGCCACAUUGGGACUGAGAUACGGCCCAGACUCCUACGGGAGGCAGCAGUGGGGAAUAUUACACAAUGGGCGGAAGCCUGAUGCAGCGACGCCGCGUGGGGGAUGACGGCCUUCGGGUUGUAAACUCCUUUCGACCGCGAGGAAGCCGCCUGGUUGGAAGGGUGGUGACGGUAGUGGUAGAAGAAGCACCGGCUAACUACGUG
Molecule: ribosomal RNA, 494 nt
Filed under: uncultured bacterium
Lineage: Bacteria
Description: partial 16S ribosomal RNA
Rfam family: Bacterial small subunit ribosomal RNA
Source: RNAcentral